Long non-coding RNA from Homo sapiens (human), 865 nucleotides. Ensembl annotates it as long intergenic non-protein coding RNA 2229. The record is from Ensembl. NCBI's taxonomy places the organism in Eukaryota, Metazoa, Chordata, Mammalia, Primates, Hominidae.
AGUCAUAUGUCCACACCUAGAUGCAGAGGGUGCUGGGAGACACAGUUCCUGGCCAGACAGCUGCUUCCCAGUGACAAAUCUACUUUAUAUCAAGAGUGAAAUCAUCCAGAAUAGAGUGAAUUCGGGCUUCAGAGCGGCUGUUUAGGAUUCAGAGCUCUACCAACAUGAGCAAUCUGUUGGCAUGACAGGUCAGAGAAGCCGUGAAGGACAUGGAAGGAAGUAGAUGGAACUGGAAACAGGAGGCCAACCCCAGCAGUCAGUGGUGCUCAGAAAAAAAUAAGACACUGAAAUUUGAGGACUUAAUGGAGUUUGGUGCCUUCAGUUAGCUGAUGUCUAUGAAGCCUGACCAGUCUACUUCUAGUCUAUAAGAUCAUGUGGAAGCUUCAGUGACAAACUUCUACUUUACUAAUGAUUUUAUGAUCCUGUUACCCAUUGCAAUUGCUUAAAUGGUAUUUUAAUUAGCUGCUUUAAAUGACUUUGCUUUUUUACAAAAAGCAGUGUGUGCUUUAGUUUAAAAUAUGGGUCACUGGUGUUUCUUUCUAGAAGAUGACUGUGUUUAGUACCAGGGAAAAUUGGUGAUGUAUUUGGAGAGGUUUUAACUUCUGUAACUCAGGUUGAUAUCUGGAAUGUGAGUGUUUCCAUACUUCCGUGGAUGCAGCAAAUUUAUAUAAAGCGUUAUUAAAUUUGUUCUAGUUUUUAAAUACUGUUAAUUCUUUCAUGGGCUUUCUAUAUUGCCAGUUUUUUUUUAUGGUAUCUGCAACAAGUCAAUAAGCUGUGUUUAUGUUUGUAUACUGUUUUAGAAAGGAGGAUUGACCCAGAACAUUAUGUGCUAGGAGAAAUAAAAAGACUCUGCUAUGGAUACAGA